This 1343-nucleotide ribosomal RNA is filed under the name uncultured bacterium. RNAcentral's name for it is "16S ribosomal RNA". It matches the Rfam family "Bacterial small subunit ribosomal RNA", at positions 28 to 1378 of the family's 1533-position model. The record is from RNAcentral.
GACGAACGCUGGCGGCGUGCUUAACACAUGCAAGUCGAACGGAAAGGCCCUGCUUUUGUGGGGUGCUCGAGUGGCGAACGGGUGAGUAACACGUGAGUAACCUGCCCUUGACUUUGGGAUAACUUCAGGAAACUGGGGCUAAUACCGGAUAGGAGCUCCUGCUGCAUGGUGGGGGUUGGAAAGUUUCGGCGGUUGGGGAUGGACUCGCGGCUUAUCAGCUUGUUGGUGGGGUAGUGGCUUACCAAGGCUUUGACGGGUAGCCGGCCUGAGAGGGUGACCGGCCACAUUGGGACUGAGAUACGGCCCAGACUCCUACGGGAGGCAGCAGUGGGGAAUAUUGCACAAUGGGCGGAAGCCUGGUGCAGCAACGCCGCGUGCGGGAUGACGGCCUUCGGGUUGUAAACCGCUUUCGCCUGUGACGAAGCGUGAGUGACGGUAAUGGGUAAAGAAGCACCGGCUAACUACGUGCCAGCAGCCGCGGUGAUACGUAGGGUGCGAGCGUUGUCCGGAUUUAUUGGGCGUAAAGGGCUCGUAGGUGGUUGAUCGCGUCGGAAGUGUAAUCUUGGGGCUUAACCCUGAGCGUGCUUUCGAUACGGGUUGACUUGAGGAAGGUAGGGGAGAAUGGAAUUCCUGGUGGAGCGGUGGAAUGCGCAGAUAUCAGGAGGAACACCAGUGGCGAAGGCGGUUCUCUGGGCCUUUCCUGACGCUGAGGAGCGAAAGCGUGGGGAGCGAACAGGCUUAAAUACCCUGGUAGUCCACGCUGUAAACGGUGGGUACUAGGUGUGGGGUCCAUUCCACGGGUUCCGUGCCGUAGCUAACGCUUUAAGUACCCCGCCUGGGGAGUACGGCCGCAAGGCUAAAACUCAAAGGAAUUGACGGGGCCCCGCACAAGCGGCGGAGCAUGCGGAUUAAUUCGAUGCAACGCGUAGAACCUUACCUGGGUUUGACAUGGAUCGGGAGUGCUCAGAGAUGGGUGUGCCUCUUUUGGGGUCGGUUCACAGGUGGUGCAUGGCUGUCGUCAGCUCGUGUCGUGAGAUGUUGGGUUAAGUCCCGCAACGAGCGCAACCCUUGUUCACUGUUGCCAGCACGUUAUGGUGGGGACUCAGUGGAGACCGCCGGGGUCAACUCGGAGGAAGGUGGGGAUGACGUCAAGUCAUCAUGCCCCUUAUGUCCAGGGCUUCACGCAUGCUACAAUGGCUGGUACAGAGAGUGGCGAGCCUGUGAGGGUGAGCGAAUCUCGGAAAGCCGGUCUCAGUUCGGAUUGGGGUCUGCAACUCGACCUCAUGAAGUCGGAGUCGCUAGUAAUCGCAGAUCAGCAACGCUGCGGUGAAUACGUUCCCGGG